AUGGGAGCUUGCUCCCUGAUCUUAGCGGCGGACGGGUGAGUAACACGUGGGCAACCUGCCCUGCAGACUGGGAUAACUCCGGGAAACCGGAGCUAAUACCGGGUAAUACAUCGCACCGCAUGGUGCAAUGUUGAAAGUUGGCUUUCUGAGCUAACACUGCAGGAUGGGCCCGCGGCGCAUUAGCUAGUUGGUAAGGUAAUGGCUUACCAAGGCGACGAUGCGUAGCCGACCUGAGAGGGUGAUCGGCCACACUGGGACUGAGACACGGCCCAGACUCCUACGGGAGGCAGCAGUAGGGAAUCUUCCGCAAUGGACGAAAGUCUGACGGAGCAACGCCGCGUGAGUGACGAAGGCCUUCGGGUCGUAAAGCUCUGUUGUUAGGGAAGAACAAGUACCGUUCGAAUAGGGCGGUACCUUGACGGUACCUAACCAGAAAGCCACGGCUAACUACGUGCCAGCAGCCGCGGUAAUACGUAGGUGGCAAGCGUUGUCCGGAAUUAUUGGGCGUAAAGCGCGCGCAGGCGGUCUUUUAAGUCUGAUGUGAAAGCCCACGGCUCAACCGUGGAGGGUCAUUGGAAACUGGAGGACUUGAGUGCAGAAGAGGAGAGUGGAAUUCCACGUGUAGCGGUGAAAUGCGUAGAUAUGUGGAGGAACACCAGUGGCGAAGGCGGCUCUCUGGUCUGUAACUGACGCUGAGGCGCGAAAGCGUGGGGAGCAAACAGGAUUAGAUACCCUGGUAGUCCACGCCGUAAACGAUGAGUGCUAGGUGUUUGGGGGGGUUCCACCCUCAGUGCUGAAGUUAACACAUUAAGCACUCCGCCUGGGGAGUACGACCGCAAGGUUGAAACUCAAAGGAAUUGACGGGGGCCCGCACAAGCAGUGGAGCAUGUGGUUUAAUUCGAAGCAACGCGAAGAACCUUACCAGGUCUUGACAUCCUCUGACAAUCCUGGAGACAGGACGUUCCCCUUCGGGGGACAGAGUGACAGGUGGUGCAUGGUUGUCGUCACCUCCUGUCC
This 1017-nucleotide ribosomal RNA is filed under the name Guptibacillus hwajinpoensis. RNAcentral describes it as "bacterial SSU rRNA". It matches the Rfam family "Bacterial small subunit ribosomal RNA", at positions 72 to 1067 of the family's 1533-position model. The record is from RNAcentral. Lineage: Bacteria; Bacillati; Bacillota; Bacilli; Caryophanales; Guptibacillaceae.